This 375-nucleotide ribosomal RNA is filed under the name uncultured prokaryote. RNAcentral describes it as "partial 16S ribosomal RNA". The record is from RNAcentral.
CCCUAUGGGGCGCACCAGGAAGAGUUCUUGUUUACGGACUCCCCACUCUGACUUCUGUUACGCCUGAUAAGGAUUCUACAAAUGGAACUACUUCAGUGAGUUUUACACUUGCAGGAACAAAUUUCGGAACGUCUCAGGCUUCUGUUAACGGUGCGGUGAAUUUCAUUCAGGUUAAUGAGAACGAUCCCAACAAUCCAUGGGGAACUGUUUAUAAUCCGUCAUCUUUUACUUCAUGGGGUAAUACUUCUAUAGCCGGCACUAUAAAUCUUCCUGAAGGGAAAUAUCGCAUUGAAGUAUCGGUAAGAGGGGAAAAUACCACCGAGGCAAUUUUCUUCUAUAAAGGAACAGGCACUUAUCAGGUGAUUGUCGGGGAGC